AAGACAGUGCUGUCAUCUCCCAGAAGAACUUCUCUGCAGUCUCAGAUAAUCAGGCUAUCAGGACCCAUGAUGCUCCUAUUAGAGAGGACUGACUUCAAGGACUUUGAAAAAGAAAACAGAAAUUUCCACCAUCGUUGUUCAGGUUCUUCCUUUACAGGGGUUCCUACAGCUACACGACUAGGAGAAAGAAGGCAAUUUUUCCUGGCCAUUUACUAAAGCUCAUUAAAGACCGAAGAGAACAAACAAUGCUACUCCUUAGAGACUACCAUUCAAAGUCAUUCUACAAUUCUCUGUUCUAAUACUUGAGACAAAUUAAUUAUUCCUUAGUGAAAAGUGUAUAAUUCCUAUUCUUCAUUUUUGGGGUGGGGAGUGGGGAAUAAUAAUAGGAAGUUUAUAUCUGAGUCGAAUGCUGUCUGUGCUGAAGGGAAAUGAGAAAAAAUGUGUGUUCUAAGAAGAGUAAAAGCAAUUAUUCUAAUAAUAAUUCUAGGGAUAUUAAUGUCUUUUUAAAGUAGAUUGCUUUCAAAUAAACACCAAAGUUGAAGGGAUAGGAAAGGCUGGUUUAUUUAUUAACCAUUCCAAAAGUGCAUUUUUCUAAAUGAACAAGUGCAUGAGCAACUUCGCUGGCACAUAUUAAAUUUAGUUAAACGGCAACUUGUAAAUGUCUAAAAACUUCUGUAACCAGAGACUAAUUUGUUUAACGUGUUGAAAAUGUUAUGUGGAUGUGAGGAACUACAUAUUAAACUUCAAAGCAAAAUGCUCCAGAGAUUACACCAUCUUAAAGACUGCAUAUUGGA
Molecule: long non-coding RNA, 794 nt
Organism: Gymnogyps californianus (California condor)
Lineage: Eukaryota; Metazoa; Chordata; Aves; Accipitriformes; Cathartidae
Exons: 3
Source: RefSeq, a predicted model, not a curated record